GAUGAACGCUGGCGGCGUGCCUAAUACAUGCAAGUCGAGCGAACAGACGAGGAGCUUGCUCCUCUGACGUUAGCGGCUGACGGGUGAGUAACACGUGGAUAACCUACCUAUAAGACUGGGAUAACUUCGGGAAACCGGAGCUAAUACCGGAUAAUAUAUUGAACCGCAUGGUUCAAUAGUGAAAGACGGUUUUGCUGUCACUUUUAGAUGGAUCCGCGCCGCAUUAGCUAGUUGGUAAGGUAACGGCUUACCAAGGCAACGAUGCGUAGCCGACCUGAGAGGGUGAUCGGCCACACUGGAACUGAGACACGGUCCAGACUCCUACGGGAGGCAGCAGUAGGGAAUCUUCCGCAAUGGGCGAAAGCCUGACGGAGCAACGCCGCGUGAGUGAUGAAGGUCUUCGGAUCGUAAAGCUCUGUUAUUAGGGAAGAACAACUGUGUAAGUAACUAUGCACGUCUUGACGGUACCUAAUCAGAAAGCCACGGCUAACUACGUG
Molecule: ribosomal RNA, 497 nt
Filed under: uncultured bacterium
Lineage: Bacteria
Description: partial 16S ribosomal RNA
Rfam family: Bacterial small subunit ribosomal RNA
Source: RNAcentral